UUCUAUCGUUACCCCACUGUUCUCCCCCUUCCUGUUGGCUCUUGCUCUUCUUUUUGUCUGUUUAGAUAUAACGACAAUUGCUGCUUAAGCUUUCAAUAGAUGUCUCUGCGUCGAAUAAGGAAUUCAAAGUAGGCAAUCCACGGUUACUGGUGGAAGUAUAAUUUCUCUCCUUCAUUCAUAUUUACUUUGCUUGAUAGUUACAAUGCCAAGUUAAAGCUAGGUUGUAUAGAUCUACUGCUUUUGCCUGGGGAUCAAUUUCAGGAGUUUGUGCUGUGAUUGUAUCUGAAUUCAAUCUACAACUUACUCACAAUGAAAACAAUGAAAGUGUGAGUCUGCACCUUCAUGUCCAAUUUUCCUGGUAAAACAAUAUUCUGUUGCUCAUGACCCUCAACCGCCUAACAUGUAAGUUUUUCACUUCCAAUCCUGCUGAAUAUGCCAACUCUUAGAAGGAUUUAAUUGAAAAAUAAGCUCAAUUCAGGUCAGUCUUUUUGUUUAUAUGGAUUUGUGCAAUCUAACUGAACAUCCUUUUAAAUACAUUCACCUUCUGCAAACAGGCAAAGCUCUAUUUUGCCCAAGUCUGUAGUUGGGAAAGGCUUAGGUUUUUGUUGUUGUUUUGGUAUAAACACUCUUCCCCUCAAGCACCAUGACCUUCUGCGCAUGAACUUGUUGCUAGGGUGCUGGAAUACCUUAUUAGCCUUCUUCUUCCGCUGACCAUAAACAUUUGUAUAUGAAAUUUCCAAUGGAGAUUGGAGAAUGCUCUAUAGGAUGGUGAUUUGCUCACAUGCAUUUAUUUGGAGGAGUUUAAACUGUACCCAUUGCUCUGCUUAAUCCUUUUUUCUUUCUUUUUUUGCCUAAUAUUUGGAAUGCUAUGUGUUGGUGUUUGCAAUUCCAAUUUGAUUUUUUCCC
Molecule: non-coding RNA, 906 nt
Organism: Theobroma cacao (cacao)
Lineage: Eukaryota; Viridiplantae; Streptophyta; Magnoliopsida; Malvales; Malvaceae
Source: RefSeq, a predicted model, not a curated record